AUUCACAUGAAACUUUCUCAUGGAAAAAAGAAGAAAGAAAGGAAAGCUAUAUCAUUAAUCUGAAGUCUGAACCUGAAAUGCUUCAACUUGGCCCCGGCCUUGGUUGGAUCAUUGUAUAUACUUGGGAAUCUCACCCUUUCUGAGGAGACCCAAAGCGUAUUCAGCAGUGUCAGUGAGAUCCUUGAUAUUGUGGACAGACUUCUCCUCGGAUCCCAGCAAGAAGAUGGCACGAACUUCAGCCUUCUUAGCCAAUCUUGCUGCUAAAUUAAGGGGUAAACUUGGAGAGUUGAGACUGCGUAAUAGUUGG
RNAcentral lists this long non-coding RNA (307 nucleotides) under Linum usitatissimum (flax). RNAcentral's name for it is "long non-coding RNA (LUSI_LNC000991)". The record is from RNAcentral. Lineage: Eukaryota; Viridiplantae; Streptophyta; Magnoliopsida; Malpighiales; Linaceae.